GCAGCCCCAACCCCAGCCCCAGGCCCAGCAGCAGCAGCAGCAGCAGCAGCCCCUGCUGUCCCGCCGCCCGGAGAGGCUCUGCAGCCAUGAAGCCAACCGUCCCGAGCCUUCAAUACCCCAGGUCCCAAACUACAGGCUGUCGAUGACGAUCCCAGACUGGCUCCAGGCGAUCCAGAAUUACAUGAAGACCCUACAGUAUCCUUCCAACCAAGGUCUGAGCACACCCAGCCAGGGGAGAGGCAUGGUGAUCGCAAGCCUGGUGGCAAAUCUGUCCCCAGCUGGUCAUCAAAAGCUCUCUAAGGUUAAUGGAAACAGCAAAAGAAAUGACCCGAGAGUCCUUGCCUAUCAAAUGCCUUGAAGCUGUCAUCCUGGGCAUCUACUUAACCAAUGGACAGCCUUCCAUCGAGCGGUUCCCCAUCAGCUUUAAAACCUACUUCUCAGGAAACUACUUUCACCACGUUGUGCUGGGGAUUUACUGCAAUGGCCGCUAUGGCUCAUUGGGCAUGAGCCGCAGGGCUGAGCUGAUGGACAAGCCAUUGACUUUUCGGACUCUGAGUGACCUCAUCUUUGACUUUGAGGACUCUUACAAGAAAUACCUGCACACAGUCAAGAAGGUCAAGAUUGGGCUGUACGUCCCCCAUGAGCCUCAUAGCUUCCAGCCCAUUGAGUGGAAGCAGCUGGUCCUCAACGUCUCAAAGAUGCUGAGGGCUGACAUAAGGAAGGAGCUGGAGAAAUAUGCCAGGGACAUGAGAAUGAAGGGCUUGUGCAGUCACUAAGAGAAAAGGAUUAUGCUGACUUCAGGCCUCGCUAUGUUUAGCACUUGUGGACUUGUCAUCUUCACUCUGCAGGACCUGGAGUGGAGAUUCCUGAUCAAUUAAAACCAUUCUGUCAUAUGUGUGGGAUGGGAGCAUCAGAGGAAGAACAAGCUGGUUUCUGGGGCAAUAUAGAUGGGACUUUGCCUUCGUGAGGAGAGGAACUUGCCAAGCAAACAAACACAGCCCCGGGGAGACUGAGGCAUUGGGCUGUGUUCCUCUUUCUACACGGCACAGGGAGCACAAUGUGACCAUCUGUAUAUCUGUCUUGGAAGUGGUGCCCUUGCUGCUUGACAGUACAGGACGAGAGAGGAAUGUGUGUGUCUCCAGCCUCCUUUUUUAGAAGUCUUCCUGCUCAAUGCCUUCUAAACCAUGGCAUCAUGAUUGGGCUGGGGGGUGGAAUGUGGUGCUAGAAGAAGACCUGAGGGUGGAGGUCCCUUAGGAACCAGGGUGAUUAACUCCUCACAUCUCCUUCAGAUCCUGAAACCUGCAAGUGCCCACUCUCCAACCCAAGUGAGAAGCCGGGGAAAAUCCCUGUCCCCCAGAAGGAGACAGGCAAGCCCCCCGAGGAGGCUCGGCCGGCGAGAGAAGUCCCCUGAGGCCAGUGAUCCCAUAUCUACUUCUUAGAUCAAAAUAACCCACUUAAGCAAUGACAGAUUGGAGAUGCUGGGGAUGCCCAAAUUCACCAGCGAUAAUCCGCUGGCAAAUAUUUGAACUAUAGCCAUCCUGGGAAAAAAUACUGCUUUUCUUAAUAAUAGCAGCAUGCUGUGUCACCCAGCCUCUUGCCGUGCUGGAACCAUGUGGCACAGUGCACAGGGGGCUUGGUUGAAUCCCAACUGUGCCACGUGUUAGCUGUGCAGCUGGGCACAUCCUUCCUCCUCAGGGAGCCUUGGUUUCUUCAUCCAUAAAAGAGUAUCAAAUGCU
Molecule: small RNA, 1736 nt
Filed under: Pan troglodytes (chimpanzee)
Lineage: Eukaryota; Metazoa; Chordata; Mammalia; Primates; Hominidae
Description: processed transcript
Source: RNAcentral